AGCAGUCGCCGCGGUAAUACGAGGGGUGCAAGCGUUAAUCGGAUUUACUGGGCGUAAAGCGUGCGUAGGCGGUUUGUUAAGUCUGUUGUGAAAUCCCCAGGCUCAACCUGGGAAUGGCAGUGGAUACUGGCUCGCUAGAGUGUGUCAGAGGAUGGUGGAAUUCCCGGUGUAGCGGUGAAAUGCGUAGAUAUGCGGAGGAACACCGAUGGCGAAGGCAAUCCCCUGGGCCUGCACUGACGCUCAUGCACGAAAGCGUGGGGAGCAAACAGGAUUAGAUACCCCGGUAGUCCCUGUCUCUUAUAC
Molecule: ribosomal RNA, 303 nt
Filed under: uncultured bacterium
Lineage: Bacteria
Description: partial 16S ribosomal RNA
Rfam family: Bacterial small subunit ribosomal RNA
Source: RNAcentral